Molecule: ribosomal RNA, 389 nt
Filed under: uncultured bacterium
Lineage: Bacteria
Description: bacterial SSU rRNA
Rfam family: Bacterial small subunit ribosomal RNA
Source: RNAcentral
AAUGAACGCUGGCGGCGCGCCUAAUACAUGCAAGUCAAGCGAGAAGACGUAGCAAUACGUUUGUAAAGCGGCGAACGGGUGAGGAAUACAUGGGUAACCUACCCUAGAGUGGGGAAUAACUAGCCGAAAGGUUAGCUAAUACCGCGUACGCUCCUUGGACUUCGGUUCAGGGAGGAAAGCGAUGCCGAGGGUAUCGCGCUCUUGGAUGGGCUCAUGUCCUAUCAGCUUGUUGGGAGGUAACGGCUCACCAAGGCUUCGACGGGUAGCUGGUCUGAGAGGACGAUCAGCCACACUGGGCACUGCGACACGGGCCAGACUCCUACGGGAGGCAGCAGUAAGGAAUAUUGCGCAAUGGGCGAAAGCCUGACGCAGCGACGCCGCGUGGGGGA